Molecule: ribosomal RNA, 446 nt
Filed under: uncultured bacterium
Lineage: Bacteria
Description: partial 16S ribosomal RNA
Rfam family: Bacterial small subunit ribosomal RNA
Source: RNAcentral
CGCCAGACUCCUACGGGAGGCAGCAGUGGGGAAUAUUGCACAAUGGGGGGAACCCUGAUGCAGCGACGCCGCGUGGGUGAAGAAGUCCUUCGUGACGUAAAGCCCUAUCAGCAGGGAAGAAAAUGACGGUACCUGACUAAGAAGCCCCGGCUAACUACGUGCCAGCAGUCGCGGUAAUACGUAGGGGGCAAGCGUUAUCCGGAUUUACUGGGUGUAAAGGGAGCGUAGACGGCAUGGCAAGUCAGAUGUGAAAGCCCGGGGCUCAACCCCGGGACUGCAUUUGAAACUGUCAGGCUGGAGUGCAGGAGAGGUAAGUGGAAUCCCUAGUGUAGCGGUGAAAUGCGUAGAUAUUAGGAGGAACACCAGUGGCGAAGGCGGCUUACUGGACUGUAACUGACGUUGAGGCUCGAAAGCGUGGGGAGCAAACAGGAUUAGAUACCCGUGUA